GCGCCUGUAGCUCAGUGGAUAGAGCACCGGUCUCCGGAACCGGGUGCGGAGGUCCGAUUCCUCUCAGGCGCACCA
Molecule: transfer RNA, 75 nt
Filed under: Prevotellaceae bacterium
Lineage: Bacteria; Pseudomonadati; Bacteroidota; Bacteroidia; Bacteroidales; Prevotellaceae
Also listed under: 4 other names
Description: tRNA-Arg
Rfam family: tRNA
About the family: Transfer RNA (tRNA) molecules are approximately 80 nucleotides in length. Their secondary structure includes four short double-helical elements and three loops (D, anti-codon, and T loops). Further hydrogen bonds mediate the characteristic L-shaped molecular structure. tRNAs have two regions of fundamental functional importance: the anti-codon, which is responsible for specific mRNA codon recognition, and the 3' end, to which the tRNAs corresponding amino acid is attached (by aminoacyl-tRNA synthetases). tRNAs cope with the degeneracy of the genetic code in two manners: having more than one tRNA (with a specific anti-codon) for a particular amino acid; and 'wobble' base-pairing, i.e. permitting non-standard base-pairing at the 3rd anti-codon position.
Source: RNAcentral